AGGUGGCGAGCGUUGUCCGGAUUUACUGGGUGUAAAGGGAGCGCAGGCGGGAAUUCAAGUCAGACGUGAAAACUAUGGGCCCAACCCAUAACGUGCGUUUGAAACUGUAUUUCUUGAGUGAAGUAGAGGUAGGCGGAAUUCCGAGUGUAGCGGUGAAAUGCGUAGAUAUUCGGAGGAACACCAGUGGCGAAGGCGGCCUACUGGGCUUUUACUGACGCUGAGGCUCGAAAGGGUGGGGAGCAA
RNAcentral lists this ribosomal RNA (243 nucleotides) under uncultured bacterium. RNAcentral's name for it is "partial 16S ribosomal RNA". It matches the Rfam family "Bacterial small subunit ribosomal RNA", at positions 529 to 771 of the family's 1533-position model. The record is from RNAcentral.